RNAcentral lists this transfer RNA (76 nucleotides) under Deltaproteobacteria bacterium. Its description in RNAcentral is "tRNA-Lys". It matches the Rfam family "tRNA". Rfam says of the family: Transfer RNA (tRNA) molecules are approximately 80 nucleotides in length. Their secondary structure includes four short double-helical elements and three loops (D, anti-codon, and T loops). The record is from RNAcentral. Lineage: Bacteria; Pseudomonadati; Myxococcota; Myxococcia.
GAGCCGUUAGCUCAGUCGGUAGAGCAUCUGCCUUUUAAGCAGAGGGUCGCUGGUUCGAUCCCAGCACGGCUCAUCA